Molecule: ribosomal RNA, 429 nt
Filed under: Gemmatimonadota bacterium
Lineage: Bacteria; Pseudomonadati; Gemmatimonadota
Description: Gemmatimonadetes bacterium partial 16S ribosomal RNA
Rfam family: Bacterial small subunit ribosomal RNA
Source: RNAcentral
UAGGGAAUCUUCGGCAAUGGACGAAAGUCUGACCGAGCAACGCCGCGUGAGUGAAGAAGGUUUUCGGAUCGUAAAACUCUGUUGGUAGAGAAGAACAAGGACGUUAGUAAACGAACGUCGCCUGACGGUAUCUAACCAGAAAGCAACGGCUAACUACGUGCCAGCAGCCGCGGUAAUACGUAGGGUGCAAGCGUUGUCCGGAUUUAUUGGGCGUAAAGCGAGCGCAGGCGGUUUCUUAAGACUGAUGUGAAAGCCCCCGGCUCAACCGGGGAGGGGCAUUUGUGACUGGGAGACUUGAGUGCCGAAGAGGGGGGUGGAAUUCCAUGUGUAGCGGUGAAAUGCGUAGAUAUAUGGAGGAACACCAGUGGCGAAGGCGGCUCUCUGGUCUGUAACUGACGCUGAGGCUCGAAAGCGUGGGGAGCAAACAGG